RNAcentral lists this ribosomal RNA (373 nucleotides) under uncultured bacterium. Its description in RNAcentral is "bacterial SSU rRNA". It matches the Rfam family "Bacterial small subunit ribosomal RNA", at positions 525 to 896 of the family's 1533-position model. The record is from RNAcentral.
ACGUAGGAGGCGAGCGUUGUCCGGAAUUACUGGGCGUAAAGAGCGCGUAGGCGGCGCUGUACGACGCACGUGAAAGCCCCCGGCUCAACCGGGGAGGGUCGUGCGUAACGGCAGUGCUAGGGUGCAGGAGAGGGGAGUGGAACUCCGGGAGUAGCGGUGAAAUGCGUAGAUACCCGGAGGAACACCAGUGGCGAAGGCGGCUCCCUGGUCUGCGACCGACGCUGUGGCGCGAAAGCUGGGGGAGCGAACGGGAUUAGAUACCCCGGUAGUCCCAGCCGUAAACGAUGGACACUAGGUGUACGCGGUAUCGACCCCGUGUGUGCCGGAGCAAACGCAGUAAGUGUCCCGCCUGGGGAGUACGGCCGCAAGGCUA